CUUCUUUAUGUUGUCUGGCUUAAAACUAUUAGUCACCCAAACCUUCACCAAUACAUCACUUUAUACUAAUAAUUUAAUUUCCUUCAGCCGUCGCAUUUAUAACAGCCUUUGCCUGGAGACGGGAUCGCCAUUUUUUUAAUUGAGUUAGGCCCAGUCGGCGAGUGGUGCCCUUUUGUAGUCAUGUCUUAAUAAGUUUUAGAUGUGUCACAUCAAGCGCACGCCAGGAGGCAGAUAGGAAGUGCGAUUUUUUUAACACUUUGCGGGGCUGUCUCCGUGCAAUCUGGGUUCCAGGAACACAACAUUUGCGAUAUAAAGGAGACAAAAAAGGGACGUUUUGCGUCCAGGGUACAGCAAAUGCGUGUGUGGUAAAACGCGUUGACUGAAAUAUGCUUUCUUAAAUUUGUAUCCCAUUCCUAAAAGACUGGACAGCCCACAUCUGUACAGGAGCAGUACUCUGGCUUCUCUGCACAGUGAGGUGGCAGAUUUCUCGGGAAGGCAGGCCUUUUGAGGCUGCUGUGUUUUAAUGUUAAAACGCGGCGAGGACGGGCAAGGGAAACUGUAAUAACUUUGAAGACACGAAAACGGUGUUUUCUUAACGCUCGACUAUAUUGUGGCGGCCAAGCUCCGUUCGCGCUGUGCAUCGCCCUCUCUCCACAGUCCCGCAGAAGUUCCACUCAAAAAGCGAUGAUCGCAAGUGAUCGUGAGAAGGAGAUACAACCUGGGAAAUCCGCAAUAAAACAAACUGCGUUCUCAAAAGAAAAAUAUAAAAGCAAUACUUCGCCAAACAGAGCGGUUACACCUGCAACACGUCUGUUAGGUCCGAGCUGAGUCACCUCACGGGGGAGUUCGCACGUUCUUCUGGCGUGGUCCACUACGGGAGAACCGGGUUCCUGUAAGGGACUCGGGCGUGCCGUGUCAUUACUGGGACAAGCGACUGUUGGUAAUGGGCGGGGUGCGUUUUGCCGGUAUGUUCUUCCUGCCGUGACCGAGACCGUGUGGAGACUCUUCCCCGCUCCGCGGCCGGCUGCAGAGUCCGCUACCUGUCCGCCGGAACAGGGGGCUUCCGCCCCCCAGAGAUGCCUGGGAGUGUGUGCACGCAUGCACCAGCACGGAAAGCCGAUGAACAGGUACAAUAAGCGCCCACAUGCCAGCUCUGGCCAGAAAAGGGGGCGAUGCACUUCUCUGGGCCGAAGUCUUUGCGCCUGGAUGUUCUCUGCUGUGUCCAGGAGUGAAUAAUUGAUGCGAGGAUAAAAGUGUGAGUGUUCAGAGGCAGCUCUGCCUGCGCCUCCCCCCACUGAGCAUGCCCUGUACCUUGUAAAUGGCCUUGCUCGGAGUCUCCUUGGACAGCCGGUUGAAGUGCAAAUCUGUGUUCUGACUUGUUCCUUGUGGCUGCCAGCAUGUUUCCCUCUUGUCAGCAGCGAUUGACUGGCCAGUCUCGCCCUUGUACAGCAACUCUAACAGCUCAUUGACAGACCAGUGACACAGCCGGGCCCGAUAAUGGAAACCUAUUGAUUUUCCCGGAUCUCAGGCACUUCAAAAUGACCGGCCAGCUCAGCGUGAUCAAUGGUCCUGAUCUCCGAGUGACGCCCGGCAGCCCUGAAGAAAAGUUAUCUGUCGUUGAAGGGGUUUUCUUGUAAACCCUGAGAACUCGGAGGAGAAUAAAAAUAUUCAGGACUCAGUGGAGUGAUCACAAGCAGGUGUGAGUGCUCGAUAAAAAAAGCCGAUUUGCUUCAAGUUUCAAAAGCGUCAAUAUUGCCGAAGCACUUUUCACUGCUUUGGCAAUAGUAUAUGGACAUAUAUGUGCCAGAAGGCGUUCUUAAAAAUAAUAGGCCACAUAAGGCCGCCGUAUUAAAGUGGAAACGUGCCUAAA
Long non-coding RNA from Lepisosteus oculatus (spotted gar), 1870 nucleotides. RefSeq lists it as uncharacterized. The record is from RefSeq and is a predicted model, not a curated record. NCBI's taxonomy places the organism in Eukaryota, Metazoa, Chordata, Actinopteri, Semionotiformes, Lepisosteidae.